Molecule: unclassified non-coding RNA, 353 nt
Filed under: soil metagenome
Description: partial contains 5.8S ribosomal RNA, internal transcribed spacer 2, and large subunit ribosomal RNA
Rfam family: 5.8S ribosomal RNA (bases 1-120)
Source: RNAcentral
GAUGAAGAACGCAGCGAAAUGCGAUAAGUAAUGUGAAUUGCAGAAUUCAGUGAAUCAUCGAAUCUUUGAACGCACAUUGCGCCCGCCAGUAUUCUGGCGGGCAUGCCUGAUCGAGCGUCAUUACAACCCUCAGGCCCCCGGGCCUGGCGUUGGGGAUCGGCGGAAGCCCCCUGCGGGCACAACGCCGUCCCCCAAAUACAGUGGCGGUCCCGCCGCAGCUUCCAUUGCGUAGUAGCUAACACCUCGCAACUGGAGAGCGGCGCGGCCACGCCGUAAAACACCCAACUUCUGAAUGUUGACCUCGAAUCAGGUAGGAAUACCCGCUGAACUUAAGCAUAUCAAUAAGCGGAGGA